GACGAACGCUGGCGGCGUGCCUAAUACAUGCAAGUCGAACGCUUUGAUUUUCACCGGAGCUUGCUCCACCGAAAAUCAAAGAGUGGCGGACGGGUGAGUAACACGUGGGCAACCUGCCCAACAGAGGGGGAUAACACUUGGAAACAGGUGCUAAUACCGUAUAAUUUGUUUUUCCGCAUGGAAGAAUAAUAAAAGACGCUUCGGUGUCACUGUUGGAUGCGCCCGCGCUGCAUUAGUUAGUUGGUGGGGUAACGGCCUACCAAGACCAUGAUGCAUAGCCGACCUGAGAGGGUGAUCGACCACACUGGGACUGAGACACGGCCCAGACUCCUACGGGAGGCAGCAGUAGGGAAUCUUCGGCAAUGGACGAAAGUCUGACCGAGCAACGCCGCGUGAGUGAAGAAGGUUUUCGGAUCGUAAAACUCUGUUGUUAGAGAAGAACAAGUGAGAGAGUUACUGUUCUCACCUUGACGGUAUCUAACCAGAAAGCCACGGCUAACUACGUGCCAGCAGCCGCGGUAAUACGUAGGUGGCAAGCGUUGUCCGGAUUUAUUGGGCGUAAAGCGAGCGCAGGCGGUUUCUUAAGUCUGAUGUGAAAGCCCUCGGCUCAACCGAGGAAGGUCAUUGGAAACUGGGGAACUUGAGUGCAGAAGAGGAGAGUGGAAUUCCAUGUGUAGCGGUGAAAUGCGUAGAUAUAUGGAGGGACACCAGUGGCGAAGGCGACUCUCUGGUCUGUAACUGACGCUGAGGCUCGAAAGCGUGGGGAGCAAACAGG
This 775-nucleotide ribosomal RNA is filed under the name uncultured bacterium. Its description in RNAcentral is "bacterial SSU rRNA". It matches the Rfam family "Bacterial small subunit ribosomal RNA", at positions 28 to 776 of the family's 1533-position model. The record is from RNAcentral.